UAAGGAAUAUUGGUCAAUGGACGAAAGUCUGAACCAGCCAUGCCGCGUGAAGGAUGAAGGCCCUCUGGGUUGUAAACUUCUUUUAUAGGGGACGAAAAAAGGGCAUUCUUGCUCACUUGACGGUACCCUAGGAAUAAGCACCGGCUAACUCCGUGCCAGCAGCCGCGGUAAUACGGAGGGUGCAAGCGUUAUCCGGAUUUACUGGGUUUAAAGGGUGCGUAGGUGGGUCUGUAAGUCAGUGGUGAAAUCUCCGGGCUUAACCCGGAAACUGCCAUUGAUACUAUAGAUCUUGAAUAUCCUGGAGGUGAGCGGAAUAUGUCAUGUAGCGGUGAAAUGCUUAGAUAUGACAUAGAACACCAAUUGCGAAGGCAGCUCACUACGGGAUUAUUGACACUGAGGCACGAAAGCGUGGGGAUCAAACAG
RNAcentral lists this ribosomal RNA (423 nucleotides) under uncultured bacterium. Its description in RNAcentral is "bacterial SSU rRNA". It matches the Rfam family "Bacterial small subunit ribosomal RNA", at positions 355 to 775 of the family's 1533-position model. The record is from RNAcentral.